Molecule: RNA transcript, 497 nt
Organism: Gossypium raimondii (Peruvian cotton)
Lineage: Eukaryota; Viridiplantae; Streptophyta; Magnoliopsida; Malvales; Malvaceae
Exons: 5
Source: RefSeq, a predicted model, not a curated record
UGAGAGAGGUUGAAAAGCCUGGUUCAAAACUUCACAAGAAGGAGACAUGUGAAGCAGUUACUAUCAUUGAGACACCACCCAUUGUUGGCGCUGGUGCUCUCGACUACUCUCUGACAUGCAGGCUUUCAAGGGUGGUUUUUGGAUCAAAUUGGCUAAGACUUGGACAAAAUAGUGGAAGAACAUGACCUAUCAUACCAGAUGGCUCAACUAAGUUGAGGAAUACCAGAUUGUCAGCAUUUACAUCCAUUUCUUCAUCUUCAUUUCUUGAAGCAUCAGAGGUUUCUUGAAGCUUUAAGGUUGUAUGGUCGUGGUUGGCGCCAAAUAGAAGAGCAUGUAGGCACUAAAUUUGCAGUUCAAAUUCGAAGCCAUGCUCAAAAGUUUUUCUCUAAUGCUCAUUGCUUUGAGUUCAUUACAAGAUUUCCUUGAUUAAGUAGAUGUAUUAUAUCUUUUAUUACCAAGAUUUACUUGAUUAAGAAAAUGCAUUGUAUUUUUUAUUA